Molecule: long non-coding RNA, 624 nt
Filed under: Mytilus galloprovincialis (Mediterranean mussel)
Lineage: Eukaryota; Metazoa; Mollusca; Bivalvia; Mytilida; Mytilidae
Source: RNAcentral
UGGGUGACAAUUUUACAACUGUCAACUGAAAAACAGAACCAAAAUAAAAGGUUUCAAUCUUUUAUUAACUAGAUUUGAAUGUUAGUUAUUUAUACAGAUAUGAGAAGAAAUGGAUUGUCAUUUGCAUGUGCUUUGGUAUUCCCUUCUCCCUUUUGAAUACACCUAAAAAUGGUUAAUUGAAAUCUGUGCCAGUUGACCCUAGAAUCUGUGUUGCUUAAUAUUUUUAUGUCAAGCAACAAUCACUUUUCCAUUGUGGCAUCAGAUAUUUUGUAUUAUGACGUCACAUUUUUACCAGAACCUUUGCGAAGUCCAGUAGUAGCGUACAAUUGGUGUUGAUCAUGGUGAUAAGGUGUUUUAUAAGUCUGCACAUCCAACGCAAUUUCAUGUUUAUGAACUUUCAAUGUAUUUCAAUUUUUCUCUGCAUUAGGUAUGACAGUAUCUGAAAUAAAAAAAAAGAAUGUAAUGUACAGACAAAUUAACAUAAGUUAUACAACAACAACUAAAUCUAAACAAUCUAUUGGCACUCAUGCCUCAUCUUCCAAGUUCUUAUUUAUAGGCAAUGUCUGCGCGUACCCGCAUGGGGGUACAAACAGUCAAUGCCAUUCGUAUAGGCUACGCAUACCC